ACGCAUAUAUAUAAGAAGCCAAGAGCUCCUAUUCUCUUCAUCACAACAUCAAAGUCAUCAAGAACUUUCACCAAAUCUCUUAUAACAAUUUCCCAGCAUCAAAUUAUGGAUAACAACUUCCCAUUUUCACCAUCACAACCAUCUUCCUCUGAGCACAGUUACACCAUAGUGAUAUUCGUUUUCUCAACGUUCGGUUGCAUUUUACUUGGCCUAGCUAUUCUUGCUUACUGGUGCUACUUGAAGAAAAAGAAGAAGAGCACAAUACUAGUGGAAGAAAAAGAAUUAAAACACAUUGAUGAUCAUCUUAAGAUCAAGGAAGAAAUUGUUGAAGGACCUCAUGGGAAACUUGAAACAAUAGUACUCUCUGUGGAAGAAGAUUUGCAUGAAAAAGAUGACAUUGUAAGGACAAAGAAAGAGUUAGAAGAAGUUCAUCAUCAUAACUUAUUGCAUGCCAAGAAUAAUCCUUCAGAAAUUACACCUUCUGCUCUUGAAGCUGGCCAUAGACAAACUUGCGCAUUAUAAAUUCAUGAUUUAUUUUCAUUUUAUGAAUAAGUGACAAGUAAUGAGAAUCACUAUUGUAUAAACUUAUAAUUAAGUACUCGUAAUUCUUUUAACGUUUUAAUUUCUUCAUUCACUUCUGUCAUGACCCUUUUAAUCCAAAUUGAAAAAACCUUACCAAUCCCAUCAUCAUUUCUUUCCACCACCAACGCUUAUACAACCACUUCUUUACAGACUAAUUUUAGAUGAAAAUCAAGACAAGAAUAUGGAGAUAAUAAGUCAAAUGUAGGUUUUCAAGUCUCUUAAGGCUUGUUGAUGCUCCAUUGUCCAUUCAAAGUUUGCUACUUCCUCACACUAUUUAAACAAGUCGAAAUCUGUUCGGGAUCCCUUUGCCGUUUGGACUACAACGACAUUUUAGACCACAGCCAAACGUUGUUCCUCAGUUAUUAUUAGCAAAACUGACAAACACAAAAUCAAUGGAUUAUUAGUGCUUUGGAAUGAUCACAAUUGUCAGGUGUGCACAUUGAGCGCCAAACUAUUUAACCUAAAAUUUAAUUAUUAGAUCAAUCAAUUAAAUUAUUUAGAAUGUGGUUGCAACCAACAUAUCAGUCCAAAUUGUGUUAACCCUUUGAUAGUGUGAAUAAAACGAGAUCAAAGUAAUUAAUAUGAAUAGCAGUGCAAACAAUUAAAGCAAACUAUUUGAUAAAGUAAGAGAGAGAAAGAUUCUUAUUUAUUUUCUUGGCUUAAACGAUGAAAAUUCUUGAUGGUGAGUGAUUGAACAGUUGUGUUUAUAGAUAAUAAUCAAAAAAAUCUGAUACAAUGCUAAAAGAGAGGCUCAAUGUCGAGAAGAAGAGAAGUAUCUCACAGUUGAAUUGAAGGGUAGUUAUUAUUCUGCACUAUCCUAGAGCUAGUUACUACUCACUACUUAUUACUGUUCACAGUUAGUUAGACAGUUAAGAGUAGUUAGAAAGAGCUACUGCUGAAGCUUGUAUUAGUAGUUACAUUCAGUUGAUGUGAGGUAGUAGUAGAAGUAUAAAUAGUGAUGUAAUAGCACAAAUUACAUUCAUUCAGAAAUAAUACAAUUUCUUCUGUUUUCUCUUAUUCUACAUUUCUCUAAUCAACUAAUUAUUUCUCGGAUUCUUCCCUGAGUUGGUUAACAAUCUUUUUUGAGAUCGUUCUCCUAGAUUAACUUUCUCCAUUCAAAUCGUUGUAUCAAAAUCAUGAGUAAUAGGGUGAAUAUUAGAUCUAUACAAUAGUGAAAAAGUUGUGGGGUUUUAUAGGGUAGCUAAGAGUAAAUGCUUCUGUAAUCCUCUCUUGUUUCAGCCUUUACAUGGAUAAGAUCAUGGGUGUUUUAAUGGAAUUAAAUGGAGUCCUAGGUAUCUCGAGGCUAAUCCAUUUUCUAGGUUAUCCCUUGUUCGUGCACUUCAAAUUUUCCCGGAUAGACCGUUGGGGCUUCUACUAUCCCUUGUUAAUUAAUGAAGCUUGUCUGAGACAGGUGAUGCUUAUCAGACGAUCUAACUAGUCUUUGGUUUGAUUGACGUCGAUCAAUUCAGUAGUUAAUCCUGGUCUUCUUUACGCUUGCUACGUGUGUUUGGUCAGACAGUCUUCACUGCCGAUAUACUUUUACCAGUACAGCUAGGAGAAUAUGCCACAAAGCUACUACAAUAGACGCUCUCAAAUCUUCCUGAUCAAUUUCCACGUCUUGCACUGUAGGACGAUACUAAUCAUCAGUCAAGCAAAAUAAUAAUUAAGGGAAUGGGAGUAGGGCAAAGAGUGUUUUCUACUGCAAUCAGAAUAUUAACCUAAGAUAAAGUCCUCCUAGUCUUUAUAUUAGAGCCAAGUCUCUGCUUACUUGAAAGCAUACCCCAAAACAGAUUUUUAAUAACUUAAAAAAACGAAACACAAGAAAGAGACUAAGGAAAAGAACCUUAGGCAUAUUCAACACUUAUAAAUAAGCAGCCAAACACUCUUUUUCUCUACAUUUACAACGUCAAAAGUCAAAAUUUACAACAAUUUCCCAAGAUCUUAACUAUGAAUAACGAUUUGAAUAACUUCCCAUUCCCAUAUUUCCCUNNNNNNNNNNNNNNNNNNNNNNNNCCAAAACCCCACCCUCCUCCUCGUCCUCAUCCUCCACCUCAUCCUCGUCCUCAUCCUCCUCCAUAUGUUCCACCAUCACCAUCACCACCACCACCACCACCACCACCUCACAAUUACAUUAUAAUAAUAUUUGUUUUAUCGACAUUCAGUUGCAUUUUACUUGGUCUAGCUAUUCUUGCUUUCUGUUGCUUUUUGAAGAAAAAGAAGAAGAGCACAGUAAUAGUUGAAGAAAAAGAAGUGAAACACAUCGAUGAUCAUCUAAAAAUCAAGGAAGCAAUUGUUGAAGGACCUCAUGAGAAGCUUGAGACAACAGUGCUCUUCGUGGAAGAAGCUUUGCAUGAAAAAGAUGAUGUUGUAAGGACAAAGAAAGAGUUAGAAG
Molecule: long non-coding RNA, 2974 nt
Filed under: Capsicum annuum
Lineage: Eukaryota; Viridiplantae; Streptophyta; Magnoliopsida; Solanales; Solanaceae
Description: long non-coding RNA (CANN_LNC006568)
Source: RNAcentral